Mus musculus (house mouse) is the source of this 611-nucleotide long non-coding RNA. RefSeq annotates it as predicted gene, 46640. Lineage: Eukaryota; Metazoa; Chordata; Mammalia; Rodentia; Muridae. The record is from RefSeq and is a predicted model, not a curated record. The transcript has 3 exons.
UUAGCAGCACAGGAUGCAGAACAUUACCUAUCUAAUAAGCAGACGGCAGCAUGGCCAUUCUAAGCCCAAGCUGUGCCUCGGACAAUUGUUUAAAUAGAAAGAACAAAUGGACCGCUAUUUUACCUUGUCUCAAAGCCCUCCACUGGAAGGGUGCUCCUCCCCCAAAGGGCCGUCAACAAGGUGAUACACGGAGAUGAAGGAAACUUUCCCCAUCAAGGAGGGCUGGGAAGAUGCUGUGGUGUGUCCUCCUGGGUGGCUGGGACCCAAAGCUAAGAUGCCUAAGCCAGUCCUGAAUCAUAAAGCCAGUCCUGAAAGUACCAAGUAGCUAACACUUUGUUGGUUCACAUGGACUAAAGAAUGCCAGCCAGGAGUGGCUACUGAGUGACUUUGCCACCAACAUCAAAUGGUGGGGCCUGCCCACCUGCCUUCUGCUAUUCCUGGCUUCAGGUUGAACAGUUUUUACCAGAACUUUUGUUACUUGCAACCAAGAGAACCUUGACUAUAUGAGCACUGGCAAAGAGAACUUUUAAAAUUGCUUCCCUUAGUUUUUGAGAUUAUGAUAUAAUGACUUCACUUUCUCAAGUCUUUCCUUUCUCUAAGCCCUCAGUAGA